Molecule: ribosomal RNA, 253 nt
Filed under: uncultured bacterium
Lineage: Bacteria
Description: partial 16S ribosomal RNA
Rfam family: Bacterial small subunit ribosomal RNA
Source: RNAcentral
UACAGAGGUCCCAAGCGUUGUUCGGAUUCACUGGGCGUAAAGGGUGCGUAGGUGGCGGGGUAAGUCUGAUGUGAAAGCUUCGAGCUCAACUCGAAAAUGGCAUUGGAUACUAUUCUGCUAGAGGGUUGGAGGGGGGACUGGAAUUCUCGAUGUAGCAGUGAAAUGCGUAGAUAUCGAGAGGAACACCGGUGGCGAAGGCGAGUCCCUGGACAACACCUGACACUGAGGCACGAAAGCUAGGGGAGCAAACAGG